UAUUAAAAAUUGCAUUAAUUUGUAUUGUUAAAAAUUGAUGUGACAGACAAUAUAACCAGACAGUGCCAAGUGUACCUCAUGUUAUGCUCAUGUUAUGUACAAUGAUCAGUUUUUAACAAUAGAAAUGGCUGAAAUUUUUAAUA
Molecule: non-coding RNA, 143 nt
Organism: Gossypium raimondii (Peruvian cotton)
Lineage: Eukaryota; Viridiplantae; Streptophyta; Magnoliopsida; Malvales; Malvaceae
Source: Rfam